Long non-coding RNA from Lates calcarifer (barramundi perch), 260 nucleotides. RefSeq lists it as uncharacterized. The record is from RefSeq and is a predicted model, not a curated record. The transcript has 2 exons. NCBI's taxonomy places the organism in Eukaryota, Metazoa, Chordata, Actinopteri, Centropomidae.
GGCUGUAUCCCCCGAGCCAUCGGCGCCUCCAUAUAUGCCCAAACGCAUACAAUGGCCAUGUCGUCCAGUUUGCAUACACACAAUGCGCCUCCCGCCGUGCGCUCCACCAGCACCACCCGGGGCCACAAAAUGGAUCAAAACGAAAAAAAGACCCCUCACGACUGGACCCAACACUCUGUUUCAUCUUUGGAUGUCUAUGACCGGGUUUAUCUGUGAAGAGGAGAGAAAAAGUUAUUAAGAAUACAGCAACUCUACAGUCA